Molecule: unclassified non-coding RNA, 323 nt
Filed under: Venturiales sp.
Lineage: Eukaryota; Fungi; Ascomycota; Dothideomycetes; Venturiales
Description: partial contains 5.8S ribosomal RNA, internal transcribed spacer 2, and large subunit ribosomal RNA
Rfam family: 5.8S ribosomal RNA (bases 1-71)
Source: RNAcentral
GUGAAUCAUCGAAUCUUUGAACGCACAUUGCGCCCUCUGGUAUUCCGGAGGGCACGCCUGUUCGAGCGCCAUCACACCCUCCAAGCUCUGCUUGAUGUUGGAUGCUGCGUCAGCUUAACCUCUGACGCACGUCUGUAACGUGUGGGCGUCCGUCCUGUCGAGACACCUCGAGCGUAGCAAGACUUUCAGUCAUUUUCGCUUUUGUAGGGACUCCAGCGGACUGCCUCUCUGGUUAGUGGGUUUACCCACUACCAAAUUACUGAGUUUGGCCUCGGAUCAGGCGGGGAUACCCGCUGAACUUAAGCAUAUCAAUAAGCGGAGGA